AGCCCGGGACAGCGCUGCACCUGUUGCCACGUGCGACGCGGCGCUCAGCGGCUGCCACUGCCGCCGGCGCACCUGGCUGCACCGCGCGUCCCGGGACCACGCUCGUCCCCGCAGGAGCCCGGGGCUCCGCCGCACCCAGCGCUAGGGCCCAGGCCGGGCCGCGGUAGGUGGGGGAUCUGACUCCUGCUUGCCUCUGGCCACCUGCAGGCCGAGGGGCCUCGCACCGCGGGGCGUAUAGAAGGUGGGAAGGUUGCAGAAUUAUCAGGGCGGAAGCUUGCAAGGAAGGAGUCGUGAUUGUCUCUUAGAAGGGCUGAUUCGCAGUCUGUAUUAUCUUCAUGCUUCUAGCAAGUUUACUAGCAAGUGUGUAUUAAAGGUUAAAGAAAGUAGCUUUCCAGCUAUUAGAGCUUGAGAUACAACGUGGAAAGGAGUCUAGAACCCCAGGGAGAUAAACUAGGCUCGACCUACUUUUCUCUAAACACAAACACAGUCCUUGCUGUUUGCUAAACUGAGCAAAUUUCAUCGACAGCUGUCUUCUAGGUCCGUAAAAUAUUUUCUUCUAUAAAGCAUAUUUUUAAUAGAAAACUUGUCCGAAGAUGCUAUUCUGCCUGUGAGAGAUGUCACAUUGCUGAACCGUGAAAUGUCAGACAACCUGAGAACAAAAUUUUAAUAUUUCCUUUUUAAUUACCUGGAUUGUGGUUUGCUAAAAGCUUUUAAAGAGAAGUGAACUUUUUUGGAGAAUAGACGUAAGGACUCUGUAUUUCACAGUUUUCUAUACCAUGAAUAUUAGAAUAACUGACAGAUGUCUUGCCAUUGAUAGUUGUAAAGACUUUUCAUAUGUACAAUGAUCCAUUAUUUCCUGACUACAAAACCCAGGGGUAUAUAGGUCAGAUUAUCUCCAUUAUUCAAAUGAGGAAUUGAAGCUCAGAAAGGUCAAGUGACUAGCGCAAGGUCACACAGCCAGUGAGGGCAAGUGCAAACCCAGCCAGCCUAACUCCUAAUCUUCUCUUUUAAUUCCAUUACAUAAUGACACCUCUCAUUUGCUUCAGAAAUCCCUGUUGUAAAGAUAGAUGCAACUAGCAUGAUCCGUGUUGUUAGGAAAGGCAUGUGAUUAAUUUUAAAUAGAUAUAGUAUUUAACACCACCAGAUGAGUCUCCCUCUGAAAAAGCACACAAAAACAAAACAAAACGCUGACAUAGUUUCCGCAAGUCACGAGGCAAUUAUGCUAAUUAGCAACAAGCCUCCAUCCCUAAGCAGAAUAGUUCUUGUGUGAAACAUAUCAUUUAAUCUUUAUAACCCUGAUGUGACCUAGAUGAUUUGGUCUAAACCCCACAAUCCUAUUGUGUGGCUUAGUUAUAUCUAUAAAUAUAGAACCUGUUUUACUUCAUUUUUGUGUCAGGUGGUUUGAAGGGGGGAAACAUACAAUGCUCUGCUAAGUAAUUAGAGCUACUUACGCAGGCAUUGGGGAAUCUGAAACUUAGCUUCUAAUUGUCUCCACAUAAAAACAGAAGUUAACUUCUAGGGACAUCUUCAGGGACUCCUCAAGGCAAAUAUUCAUGAAAUGGGGCCUAUUGGCUUUUCUUUUCAUCUUGGUUCUGGGCAUGUUGCCAUGUUCCUGAUCUCUGAACUCUGAUGCUGACCUGCUACAGACUCCAGGAGCAAUAUUAAGGAUAAAAUAAUAACUCACAUAACUUUGUGGCUCUUUAUUCUAAAAAAAAAAAAAAAAGUUGGCUCAAUUUUUUUUCCUCCAUAAGAAAAUGCAAAUUGCAACUGUAUUGAGAAACCAUUUUUUCACUUAUCAGAUUGUCAAAGAUUAGAAAGUUUGAUAAUCACAGUGUUGGUAAAAGUGUAGACUAGCAGUCACAAUGAAAAUGUAAAUGUAAAUUAUAAUGACCUCCCUAGGGGGAAGGUCAGGAUACCUAACAAUAUUGCAACUAUACGUAUAAGAGUUUAUCUUGGCCCUGCGUGGUGGCACGGUGACUCAUGCCUGCAAUCCCAGCACUUGGGGAGGCCGAGGCGGGCAGAUCACCUGAGGUCAGGAGUUGGAGACCAGCCUGGCCAACAUGGUGAAACCCUGUCUCAACUAAAAAUACAAAAAUUAGCCAGACAUGAUAGCAGGCGCCUGUAAUCCCAGCUACUUGGGAGGCUGAGGCAGGAGAAUCCCUUGAACCUGGAAAGCGAAGUUUGCAGUGAGCCGAGAUUGUGACACUGCACUCCAGCCUGGGCAACGCACCGCGACUCUGUCUCAAAAAAAAAAAAAGAGUUUAUCUUACAACACACAGGAGAAAUGUGUGAAAAAAAAGGAAAAAACUGAAAAUCUCAAGAGGAUUCCAGGAAAUCAAAACAAUGAAUUAUUGAAUCAAGAAUUUGAAAGAGAAAAUAGAUGCAUACUGAAAAAAGAAUUUUGUUUAGUGAGAUAGAUGUAAUAAUGAAGGCAUGUUGAUAACGGGGGAGCUAUGUAUAUAUGAGGGGAGGGAUAUAUUGGAAAUCUCUGUAUCUUCCUCUCAAUCUUGCUGUGAUCCUAAAACUGCUCUAAAAAAUAUUUUGAGAAGGAAUAAUGAUGUGGUAAACAUGUUCUGUUAUUUAAAAAGAGAGACUUUUCAUAGCCGCCUCCCUCCCCCUCUACACACACACAGAGUCCUGUCCGUCUUCAUUCCCUUACUCAAUAAUUUGUACAGACACAGCCACUGGGCUCCAGUAAUCCUAAAGUUUCUAGAAAAUCAAGCACAGAAAAAGGUUAAAACCCUGAGGGAAUAAAAGAAUUCCUUUGCAUCCAUUGCAUUUCUCAGGAAGUGAACUAACAAAUUCACUGCUUUUAAAUGAGGAAAUUUUCUCAGUGAAAUUGAUUCCAAACCUUCGUUAGGUCAACUGUUCCCAGAUUUCUUAGCUGAUGCCUGAUCUGACUAUUCCUUAUCUUUAGUACAGAAACCAAGGUGAAUGACCUUUAAAAAACAUAUUAGACUGUUGACGUGUCUUCUAUGUUGUACUCUAGGUAAAAACGAUAAACCAGGAAAAAGAAAGUAAAAUUCAACCUUAGGCUCAUGGAUCCAGAGUGGAUAAUUAUGAGUCUGUAGUAUCUACAUGCAUGUGAUGAGGUUCAAGGACAAUAACCAUAAAGCAAAGACUUAAAAGGUUUUAUCAUUAGAAUAAUUGUAAUUCACUUGAUCUCUCAAUGUAACAAUACUUCGGUCUACUGUCUCAAGCCAUUAUUAUGUCUUACACUCAGCAUAUUGGUUUGUCUACCAUUAAAUAUUUAUUUUCUACAGUGCUUUCUGGAAGGCAAACAAAGCAGCCACUCUGCUACUUUAUAUUGAUUCCUGAGUUGUCCUUCGGAAACGCUUUCAGGAAGUUUAAUAGGUUUGAAAGAUAUUUAGACCUGUGACUGGCAAAUAUACUUCCUUCUUUUUAUUUCAAUAAGAGAGUACUAGAACUUAGAUCUUUAUUGUUUAAUCUAGUCAGUGCUGUCAUUGUCAAUCAAGUUCUCAAAUGACACUUGUCCUGAGCUGUAACUGAUCUAUUCAGAAGAAUAUGAAAAUAGUAAAGACGGCAACUAUGCAUGUUUUUACCGGACACGAUUUUAAUUGCUUUAAAAUGAAGUUAUGCAACCAAUGAGGAAUGGAGCUUUUGGAGUGGCCUGAAGCUAAAGGUUUCAGGUGUAUUUUUGCUUUCUUUGAAGAAAGAACCAAAUCAUUUUAUUUAAUAAAAAGGCCAUUUAUCAAGAAUUUCUUAAAGCUGUUUUAAACCUGAGUUUGCAAUUUAUAGAAUAUGUUCAAGCAGCCUCAGUGCCCUUUUAAUUGGAUGGUUUUCACAGAUUUAUCCAAUUUGAGAUUUAUCCAGUGAGAAUUCCCUUUGUUCAAGUAUAUAUGUCUUCUCUUCCAUAAAGCAGAUUCAAAUGAAAGAGUGCAAUCUGAUAUAUCAGACAUGUCAGUUAUACAUUUGAUGUGGUAAAUUUAUAAGAGAGGCCAAUUAUUGUUAUGAAAAAAUACAAUGAAAUACAUGAUAGUCAUUUACUGUUUUUAUAACUAAUCUAAAAGUAUUUACUAAAAAGAAACUAUUUCUUUUCAUAUGUACUUUACUUUUUACUUUAACCCUUCAUAUGUCCUUUAAAUAAAGAGAAGAAAAAAAGUCAUUUAUAUUUAUCCACAUAUUUUCUAUUUCAGGUGGUCCUCAUUCAUUCUUGUAGAUCCAAGUUACCAUCUGUUAUUAUUUUCUUUGUCACCUGAAGAAUUUUCAGAACUAUUUCUUCCUAUAUGUAGCAUGUAUAGAUACUCUAAAAAGUCCAUUAUAUGAUGUAUAAAACAAAGCAUACAAUGUAGUCUCUGCCCUAAUUAUUUGUAAUUUAUAUAAAACCUUUUAUUUUUU
Molecule: long non-coding RNA, 4359 nt
Filed under: Homo sapiens (human)
Lineage: Eukaryota; Metazoa; Chordata; Mammalia; Primates; Hominidae
Description: HSALNT0345427
Source: RNAcentral